CCUACGGGCGGCAGCAGUGGGGAAUAUUGGACAAUGGGCGAAAGCCUGAUCCAGCCAUGCCGCGUGUGUGAAGAAGGCCUUCGGGUUGUAAAGCACUUUCAGUGGGGAAGAAAGCCUUGGGGCUAAUACCCUCGAGGAAGGACAUCACCCACAGAAGAAGCACCGGCUAACUCCGUGCCAGCAGCCGCGGUAAUACGGAGGGUGCGAGCGUUAAUCGGAAUUACUGGGCGUAAAGCGCGCGUAGGCGGUCUGAUAAGCCGGUUGUGAAAGCCCCGGGCUCAACCUGGGAACGGCAUCCGGAACUGUCAGGCUAGAGUGCAGGAGAGGAAGGUAGAAUUCCCGGUGUAGCGGUGAAAUGCGUAGAGAUCGGGAGGAAUACCAGUGGCGAAGGCGGCCUUCUGGACUGACACUGACGCUGAGGUGCGAAAGCGUGAGUAGCAAACAGGAUUAGAUACCCGAGUAGUC
This 465-nucleotide ribosomal RNA is filed under the name Vreelandella stevensii. Its description in RNAcentral is "partial 16S ribosomal RNA". It matches the Rfam family "Bacterial small subunit ribosomal RNA", at positions 338 to 795 of the family's 1533-position model. The record is from RNAcentral. Lineage: Bacteria; Pseudomonadati; Pseudomonadota; Gammaproteobacteria; Oceanospirillales; Halomonadaceae.